This is a non-coding RNA of Macaca mulatta (Rhesus monkey), 3237 nucleotides long. The record is from RefSeq and is a predicted model, not a curated record. NCBI's taxonomy places the organism in Eukaryota, Metazoa, Chordata, Mammalia, Primates, Cercopithecidae.
GAUUACAGGCGUAAGCCAUCGUGCCCGGCCUCUCAGGUAUUUUUUUUAUAGCAACACAAGAACAGACUAACAUAGAACUCGAAUGAAUGAAUUCUGUCCUCAACUGCAGUAACUGUAAGGAGGUAUUAUUACAUUUUCUCUCCCCAAGUGAGAAAGACUAAUCCUUUAAAACUACCGUAAGUUCUCAUUGUAUGAGACUCAAGUUGAGCUUUCAUGAAGGCUCUCAAAUAGAGUUGGUGUUUUUAUGGUAUUGUUCACAUGUUCUUAAUUUUGUUUUUUCCUCAACUUUUAAAUGUUCAGAAAAGUUUUUUAAACAUGGACUUUUGAUAAGAAAAUUUAAGAUGAUCAUGAACUGCAUGACAUUUUAUCAUCAUCAAGCUAUAGAAUGCUUCUAUUUUGUUUCAUUUACUUUGGUUUUACUUUUUUCUCUAUUAUCUUCUGUCUCUAAUCUCACAGCCCCCUCCAACCAUAGUCAGCUUUUACAAUAUAUAUGAAAUAUAUACUAUUUAUAAUAUAUAUGUUCAUCCAUUCUACCUUUUACACACACACACACACACACACACACACACACACACACACAGAAGAUGUGAAAAAUUUUGGCAUUCACUGUGCUUAAUUUACAUAGAUGAUACUGUGGUAUAAGUAUCUUUCUAACUUUUCUUAUUCAACACUGUUUUUAAAGAUCUACUCAUGAUGCUACAUAUAAGCAUAAGUGAUUGCUUUUUACAUUCCAUUACACGCCAUGCUAUUCAUACAUUGGUAAGUCUACUAACAGUAACAGCUCUACCAUGAACAUGAACCCAUCUUAUCCUUGAGCACCUGAGUGAUUCGUGGAGGGUAUAUUCAGCAGUAGAAUUGUUGGAUUGUUGGGUAUAUCCAUACUAAAUGUCAGCAAACUCAGUGAGAUUAUUUUCCCAAAUAGCUCUAUUAGAUUAUAUCCUCACCAGCAAGGUAUCAGGGAUUCCAUUUCUAUAUAUCUUCACCAGCAUUUGAUGUUAUGCAACUUUUUAGUUUUUGUCGAUCUGAUGAUUAUAGACUGACACUUUAUCAAUGAUUUAAUUAGUAUUUUCCUAAUUUUGAAAGAGUUUGGGCAUCUUUUAAUAUUUACUACCCAUUUAGGUUUCUCUUUCUGUGAAUUGCCUAUUCAGAGAUAUUGCUUAUUUCUUUAGGUUUUCUUUCUUUUUCUCUUUUCUUUUCUUUUUAAAAAUGUGCCAUAUGGACAGUCUUUUUUAAAUGCCUUUAACAUUUGGAAAACUUUGGACUUUCCUAAGAGCUAUACAAAUGUCAUGGGUAAACUUUUUGCGUUGACUUUGACUUUCAAGAAACCUACAGCCAUAUCUCACAUGUAAUCACAGCUGUAUUUUCCCUUUCAGCAAGUGUAUUCGCAUUCUUGUACUUUCUUGGAACCUAAUUUUUGCAUUCAAUGUUAUUAUUAACUUUAUUUUUAUGUCUCUUGUCAUAACCUAACUCAAAAGAUGUUUUGAAGGAGUCAGGCAUAAGUGAAUCAAUAAGCUUAUUUUUUUUCAAAAUGUUCCAGUUUAAUUUAAAUUGGUCUUCUAGCUAGAACAAAAUGUGUUCCCACUCACCUUAAAGUGACAAUAGGCUUCUGAAUUCCAUGGCUGUAGGUGUCAUCUAGUUCAACAACACAUUUUCAAAUAGGAGAUGGAAGACCACAGAAGUCACCUGAAGCUGUUUAGGAGACACAGGCUGGAGCAAAACUGGAAUGGCCUGGCAUUAAAUCUGGUUUUUCUUUUCUUUUUAUUUAUUAAUGUAAUUAAAACAAUUUUUGGUUUCUAUUUUGCUUAGUAGAAAAGGUUUAUAUAUGGAUCACAUGUCUGUGUGUGUAUCUCUGUGUGAAAGUGUCUGUUUUUUGUAAUGCUUAUGUAUUUUUCUUCCCCUCUCUCAUUGGCAUUUAUCUUGAUGUAAUUGAUGUGAGGUUUCUGGUCUUCAUAAAUUUCCUAUUAUUUCUGAAGCUUUGAAAAAUUAUUAAAUCUAAUUUAGAAGUGUAAAAUUCCAACUCAAACUUUGGAAGUCAAGUUAAAACUCCUCUGUUUGGUAAUCUCUGAGAUGCUAUAUACAAAUAUCAUCCUACUUACUAAUUGUUCAGCUCUUUUCUUAAAUCAUACAUGAAUGACUUGUCAAAGAUAAAGUACUGGCAUCAGAAAGAUUCUCAAUAUCAGGACUUGAAGGUCAUGUUACACCUCAGUCUGGAGCUUCUGAGAAUGGACCCCUGAUCUCCUAUCCUUGUAGAAUCCACACUUUCCUGGUGAGGCCUAAACCACAGCUGGGAAGAACCCUAUGUUCCUGACCUGGAUCAAGGGAAUGCUACCCCCACAAUGGUGAUACUAAUGCUUUUUCAUGGAAACUGGCUUUCAAGUUGAACAAGACCGGCAAAGGGGACAUGGCAAAUCCUCCUCUUACCACUUAUGCUUAGAGUGACAUGUCUGUUCACGUUCACAAGUUGGUGUUAAAGCAACUCACAUGGCCAUAUCUGUCUAGAAGGGGUCAGGGGAGUGCAACUCUUUUAUGUACCCAGAAAGGGGGAGAAAUAUUUGGUAAAGACUACUAAUGACUACCACUGUCUGCAACCCUCACUUUUUCUGACUAUGAUUAUAAUGAUACCCUUUGCCUUUACAGAGUAUAGCUGUGCCUAAUCAAAGGGCACACCAGCCAGAUCUAGAGAUGGGAGUGACUUCUAAGGAGCAUGGACUUCACCUGGGAAGGUGAUGGGCUUGCUGGGGAGCUGUGGAGUUUGAGAGCCAAAUGGUUGACUCAUGAAACAGUAAUCCAGGAGUGAAACAGAAACCAAGCAGGUGACUCGGAUACUGGGGAAAUCAGACAAAACAAGAACCCACCUACCUGCCCUCUGUCUUCCUGACUCCCACAAGUACUUUUUGUGCACUUAUGAAGUGGCAAGUACUAUUUUAGGUUCUAGGGAUUUAGCAGUGGAAAGACAAGUGGAGGAACUAAAACAAUUAAAAAAGUGUCUGAGGACUUGAGUGUACCCAGGGGGAGAGACCCUGUCAAAGGUCAUGUGUGUGCACUCUACGCUGAGUAUUUCAUACCCAUGGCUCAUUUGAAACAUGCAAGAACUCAAAGAGGAAGUGAAUCUACGUGUCAAGACAGUCCCCGCUCUUUUCAGGCUUAUGGUAUUAACAGCAUCAUAUCAUAAAAUGUUGUCAGGUCCUUGGGGCAGCAAUAAUGCUUUCACUUAUAAAAUGUGACUACAGUUCUUAA